Molecule: transfer RNA, 73 nt
Filed under: Hordeum vulgare
Lineage: Eukaryota; Viridiplantae; Streptophyta; Magnoliopsida; Poales; Poaceae
Description: tRNA-OTHER
Source: RNAcentral
CGAUGCGUAGCGUAGUGGUAGCGUGUUGUUGUUGCCAGUAGGACGUUGCAGGUUCGAUUCCCGCCCUCGGCAA